GCCGGGAUGGCGGAAUCGGCAGACGCGACGGAUUCAAAAUCCGUUUCCCUCACGGGAGUAAGGGUUCGACCCCCUUUCUCGGCACCA
RNAcentral lists this transfer RNA (87 nucleotides) under Planctomycetota bacterium. RNAcentral's name for it is "tRNA-Leu". It matches the Rfam family "tRNA". Rfam says of the family: Transfer RNA (tRNA) molecules are approximately 80 nucleotides in length. Lineage: Bacteria; Pseudomonadati; Planctomycetota. The record is from RNAcentral.